Molecule: ribosomal RNA, 531 nt
Filed under: Bacillus tequilensis
Lineage: Bacteria; Bacillati; Bacillota; Bacilli; Caryophanales; Bacillaceae
Description: bacterial SSU rRNA
Rfam family: Bacterial small subunit ribosomal RNA
Source: RNAcentral
AUGGCGGCUUCGGCUGCCACUUACAGAUGGACCCGCGGCGCAUUAGCUAGUUGGUGAGGUAAUGGCUCACCAAGGCAACGAUGCGUAGCCGACCUGAGAGGGUGAUCGGCCACACUGGGACUGAGACACGGCCCAGACUCCUACGGGAGGCAGCGGUAGGGAAUCUUCCGCAAUGGACGAAAGUCUGACGGAGCAACGCCGCGUGAGUGAUGAAGGUUUUCGGAUCGUAAAGCUCUGUUGUUAGGGAAGAACAAGUACCGUUCGAAUAGGGCGGUACCUUGACGGUACCUAACCAGAAAGCCACGGCUAACUACGUGCCAGCAGCCGCAGUAAUACGUAGGUGGCAAGCGUUGUCCGGAAUUAUUGGGCGUAAAGGGCUCGCAGGUGGUUUCUUAAGUCUGAUGUGAAAGCCCCCGGCUCAACCGGGGAGGGUCAUUGGAAACUGGGGAACUUUAGUGCAGAAGAGGAGAGUGGAAUUCCACGUGUAGCGGUGAAAUGCGUAGAGAUGUGGAGGAACACCAGUGGCGAAGG